CCCCUCCUCCUCCAAACCUCCCUCUCCUCCCAGCUCAGCCCCUUUGCCUCUGCUCCUGAGCUCUGCCCUCCGGCUGGAGCCACAGGUUUAUCUGGAGGCAAGGAGGAGGGAGGGAUCUGCUGGAUCCUGGAGCAGAAAGGGUUUAGCUGCCCAGGAGGGACGAAGAGAGGCAGAGCCUGGGCACCAUGGCUGGAUUCUCCACUCCCGGGCUUCUGUUCCUGUGGCUAUUAGCCACAGCAUCGGCUCAGAGAGUAGGACCCCAAGGCCCUCCUGGACCACGAGGACCCCCUGGACCAUCUGGCAAGGACGGGAUAGAUGUGAGUGCUGCAUGGCAGUGGGCAGGCUCGGGCGAGGGGUGGAGCAGAGGCAGAGCCAACUGAGCAGAGAAGCUGCUCUUGUUCUCCCUGGCC
This 410-nucleotide long non-coding RNA is filed under the name Calidris pygmaea (Spoon-billed sandpiper). Its description in RNAcentral is "lncRNA (ENSCPGG00000009854.1)". The record is from RNAcentral. Lineage: Eukaryota; Metazoa; Chordata; Aves; Charadriiformes; Scolopacidae.